Molecule: ribosomal RNA, 417 nt
Filed under: uncultured bacterium
Lineage: Bacteria
Description: bacterial SSU rRNA
Rfam family: Bacterial small subunit ribosomal RNA
Source: RNAcentral
UGAGGGAUAUUGGGCAAUGGGGGAAACCCUGACCCAGCGACGCCGCGUGAGGGAAGACGGUCUUCGGAUUGUAAACCUCUGUCUUGGGGACGAAAAAGGGACGGUACCCAAGGAGGAAGCUCCGGCUAACUACGUGCCAGCAGCCGCGGUAAUACGUAGGGAGCGAGCGUUGUCCGGAAUUACUGGGUGUAAAGGGAGCGUAGGCGGGAUUGCAAGUUGGAUGUGAAAACUGCGGGCUCAACCCGGAGAGUGCAUUCAAAACUGCGAUUCUUGAGUGAAGUAGAGGCAAGCGGAAUUCCUAGUGUAGCGGUGAAAUGCGUAGAUAUUAGGAGGAACACCAGUGGCGAAGGCGGCUUGCUGGGCUUUUGACUGACGCUGAGGCUCGAAAGUGUGGGGAGCAAACAGGAUUAGAUACCC